GAAGAGUUGGUGGGCGGAGCAGGGGCAAACUUGGGAGCGGUCAGGGGAGUGAGUUAACCGGGUGAAGCACAGGAGCCCCAGAGGUUCCCGGGUGGAUGAGGCUGUGCUCACCAGGGGAACACAGGGCUCAGGCAGAUGGUGGCAGGUGACCCUUGCCAGUGGUUCAGUGUCACUUUUGUUGGACCACAAUGUCUGUGGCGCAUCCAUGUGGAUGGGCCUCCAGUGAACAGGAUGCUGGGAACAUGAGCAGGAAUGUGCUAGAAGGGAUGUAUUGGGAAGGAAGGGAAUGAGACAGGCAUGAAUGGGCACAAAGACGGUUCCCAGGAUGGCAGUCUCAGUAGGGCCAGAAAGCCUGGGAUCUCAGAGGAAGAGAGGCCUGGGGGACAGGAGGCUGUGCCUGUGAGGGGGUCCAGUCCUGGGGGUGCUUGGAUGUUGGAGCACCUGUGGGAGAGGGUGGCAGGACUCUUUCCUCCUAGUCACCCCUCAGCUGCAGGCCUCCCGAGCCUCCCUCCUGCGGCAGCCUCAGUCUGCACCCCUGGCAUCUGCUCUGAGUCAGGCAGGGGACGGUGUGCGUAAGCCCCUCUGGGCAAAGCACAAAGAACUGACAAAGCAGAGGCAGCUCCCUCAGGAGCUUGUGUUCUAGUCGGGGAGGGACAGGCCAGAAACAUGCAAACAAGUGGGAUGCCUUCGGGCAUGCUCCUGUCUCCUAGCAGAACCAGGGGUCCUGGACAUAAAUUUGAACUCCUUCCCCAAAGUACUGCCAUUUUCCCUUGAACUCACCUUCAGAUCUUCUGAGUCAUCUUUGACUCAUCUCUUGUCUUCAGCCCCCACAUUCUGACAGCUGCCAAGUCUGGUGGAUUUUUCCUUUAAAACGUUCUUUCUCUCUGUGCUUAGGGUCCUGCCCUGAUCCAGGCCCUCAGGGCCCCAAACCAUUUCCACUUCCAGCUGGCUCUUGCUGGGUUUGUGUGUUCUACAUUCCCGUUUUCAUCUGCCCUCUUCCCAGUGCAGAAAACUGCCAGGCUCCCAGGACACUGAGCUUGUAGUCCCUCUCUUGGUAUUCAAACCCCAGGGCCUGGCUGACCCUGCCUCUGCCUGCUCACUGCUGGCAUGUCAACACACACCUUCCUUGGGAGGCCCCCUCCUGUGCCCAUCUCCAUGCCUGACCUUGGUGCUCUCAGACCUGGAAUGCCGGGCACCCACGUGUCACCAAGGCACCUCCAGCCCUGCCCACAACCCAGCUGAGUUCCCUGAGGCAGCCUAAUGGGGCACCAUGGUCAGCCCUGACCAGGGGACCUGGUGAUUUAAGAAUAUGGCAGAGGGCCGGGCGUGGUGGCUCACGCCUGUAAUCCCAGCACUUUGGGAGGCCGAGGUGGGCGGAUCACAAGGUCAGGAGAUCGAGACCAUGGUGAAACCCCGUCUCUACUAAAAUAGAAAAAAUUAGCCGAGCGAGGGCGGCUGUAGUCCCAGCUACUCGGGAGGCUGAGGCAGGAGAAUGGCGUGAACCCGGGAGGCGGAGCUUGCAGUGAGCCGAGAUUGCGCCACUGCACUCCAGCCUGGGCGACAGAGCGAGACUCCGUCUCAAAAAAAAAAAAAAAAAAAAAAAAAAAAAAAG
Molecule: long non-coding RNA, 1612 nt
Organism: Macaca fascicularis (crab-eating macaque)
Lineage: Eukaryota; Metazoa; Chordata; Mammalia; Primates; Cercopithecidae
Source: Ensembl